RNAcentral lists this ribosomal RNA (519 nucleotides) under uncultured bacterium. RNAcentral's name for it is "bacterial SSU rRNA". It matches the Rfam family "Bacterial small subunit ribosomal RNA", at positions 29 to 503 of the family's 1533-position model. The record is from RNAcentral.
AACGAACGCUGGCGGCGUGCCUAACACAUGCAAGUCGAGCGCGAAAGUCCCUUCGGGGGCGAGUAGAGCGGCGGACGGGUGAGUAAUACAUGGAUAAUCUGCCCUCGAGAUCGGGAUAACCCUGCGAAAGUGGGGCUAAUACCGAAUAAGACCACACAACACAAGUUGUGUGGUAAAAGGUGGCUUGAAUUUAUUCUGGCUAUCACUUGAGGAUGAGUCCAUGGCCUAUCAGCUUGUUGGUGGGGUAAUGGCCUACCAAGGCUAUGACAGGUAGCUGGUCUGAGAGGACGACCAGCCACACUGGGACUGAGACACGGCCCAGACUCCUACGGGAGGCAGCAGUGGGGAAUAUUGGGCAAUGGGCGAAAGCCUGACCCAGCGACGCCGCGUGGGUGAUGAAGGCCUUCGGGUUGCAAGCACUUUAUUACUAGAACGAAAGAACGUUCGGUAGUAAGUUAACUACUGACGUAGCGUCGACGGUACCGUACGUAGGAAGUAAAGACGACCGGCCGUUAACCG